Mauremys mutica (yellowpond turtle) is the source of this 1586-nucleotide long non-coding RNA. RefSeq lists it as uncharacterized. The transcript is spliced from 6 exons. NCBI's taxonomy places the organism in Eukaryota, Metazoa, Chordata, Testudines, Geoemydidae. The record is from RefSeq and is a predicted model, not a curated record.
AUGUGCAUAAAUGUGUUAUGAGACAAUGAGAUGAGUCUCCUUCCAGAACAGAACACUGAGAACACUUGCAAGAGGAGGCAGCUUCCUCAGGAAUUGUCCUUUGCAACGUUGUGUUUAAGGAAUCUUCAGAGAUGAAAACCUUUGGGUUUGUUGUUUGCAUUAUCAACUGAAAUGGAAACUCCAAAUCAGGUUCUCAUUCUUCAUGACCAUCAUGGACCCAGGUUCACGGAGUGAGAAUGUUUUAGUCUGCCAAGAGAAAAGUACAAUGGUAAAAGAAGCUGGAGAAAACUAUAUUUGCUGAAGAUAGCUGAAGAUGGGCCAUGGAAGGAAAGGCAUUAAGUGCAGCCGAAUGGUGUGGCUCUGCAGUGCUUGUUGAGAAUCUCCAGACUGUAAAACAAUAUUCUUAAUCUUCUCCAGAGAGGGGAGGCAUGACGGUAGCCAUGCCAAUUCCAUUAAGAAUGGAGAAGCAAGACUAAGAAAUUAGAUCCCUUUCUGAUGUAAUGAAGAAAUAUGUUGAUGUGCACCUAAGGGCUGGGAGAGAUAAAGAUCCUGUAUCUGAUUCAAAACAGAGUAAGCAAAGUUACUCUCCGCAUACCACCAACAGAGCCUCAACUGCCAUGGACGCUGGUUUGCCAAUUAAAGAUAUGUCUUGGUUUUCCUUUAUAAAUUAGAACUAGAUCCAAAUCAUUUUUUUUCGAAACACUGUGGGGGUUGUUUGCAUUAGGUAAUCCAAUGUGAGACUGGACUCUCCAGUUGGACUCUCAGGACAUCAAGCCUUGGCGGUUGCACAGGAACAGACCAAAUGGCGAAUGAUUGCAACAGACGACUGUCUGGCUAAGUGUAGAAGAAUAAGAAGAAGAAGAAUUUGAGAUGACUACAGAUAUGGACUCAAGACAUACGGACCAGAUCUGGCUGUGGAUUCAGAUUUUAGAUUUGGCAGUUCCAGUUUGUGCUUCUCUAUUUUUAGUAAAAGUUGAAUAGGGACUAAUUCUGCUGUCACUUAUACUAGCGUAGUCACUGACUUGCACCAGUGUAACUGGGAUCAGAACGUGGCCCACAGUUAUUCCAGUGUGGAACAAUGAACUGUUACAUUAUUAUAGCCUGUGGGACAGAUGCCUCAGAAUAGGCACAGCACAGAAGAGUCCAGGGGAAGUGCAGGAAAAAGAUUCUGGGUUGGCUGCGGGCUACUGCAGCCCCUGCUCUAACUUAUGGCAGCCUUAUCUAGGCUAUCCAUAGGCUGUGCCGCAGCCUGGAGCGGUCCAGAAUUGCCAUAACGCUCAGCACUAUAGAGAUUCAACUUCUGCCCCUAACAUGCUUCUUCCUGGCACUACCUUGGCACAUCUCUUAUGCUGAGGGCUGUGAUGGGAGCCAGACAGCAAACCUACACUGCUCUUCACUGGGGGAAUUCUGCAGCAGGCUGCAGCACCUGUACAACCCUUAUAUGCCAGCAGAGUCACCUACAGGGUGUGGGUUGGGGGCUAGAAUUGGGUAACACACGUUUAAGAAACUCCUAUCUUAUUGCAGUAUAAGGUUAUAUCUCUCAAGAGCUAAGAUCUGUCUGUAUUUUCUACCUUUUAACAUUCUUU